Molecule: ribosomal RNA, 798 nt
Filed under: Stenotrophomonas sp. I32.2
Lineage: Bacteria; Pseudomonadati; Pseudomonadota; Gammaproteobacteria; Lysobacterales; Lysobacteraceae
Description: bacterial SSU rRNA
Rfam family: Bacterial small subunit ribosomal RNA
Source: RNAcentral
CGGCAGCACAGGAGAGCUUGCUCUCUGGGUGGCGAGUGGCGGACGGGUGAGGAAUACAUCGGAAUCUACUUUUUCGUGGGGGAUAACGUAGGGAAACUUACGCUAAUACCGCAUACGACCUACGGGUGAAAGCAGGGGACCUUCGGGCCUUGCGCGAUUGAAUGAGCCGAUGUCGGAUUAGCUAGUUGGCGGGGUAAAGGCCCACCAAGGCGACGAUCCGUAGCUGGUCUGAGAGGAUGAUCAGCCACACUGGAACUGAGACACGGUCCAGACUCCUACGGGAGGCAGCAGUGGGGAAUAUUGGACAAUGGGCGCAAGCCUGAUCCAGCCAUACCGCGUGGGUGAAGAAGGCCUUCGGGUUGUAAAGCCCUUUUGUUGGGAAAGAAAUCCAGCUGGCUAAUACCCGGUUGGGAUGACGGUACCCAAAGAAUAAGCACCGGCUAACUUCGUGCCAGCAGCCGCGGUAAUACGAAGGGUGCAAGCGUUACUCGGAAUUACUGGGCGUAAAGCGUGCGUAGGUGGUUGUUUAAGUCUGUUGUGAAAGCCCUGGGCUCAACCUGGGAACUGCAGUGGAAACUGGACGACUAGAAUGUGGUAGAGGGUAGCGGAAUUCCUGGUGUAGCAGUGAAAUGCGUAGAGAUCAGGAGGAACAUCCAUGGCGAAGGCAGCUACCUGGACCAACAUUGACACUGAGGCACGAAAGCGUGGUGGGAGCCAAAACAGGAUUUAGAUACCCUUGGGUAGUCCACCGCCCUUAAACCGAUGCGAACUGGAUGUUGGGGUGCCAUUUUGGCACCG